GUGGGGAAUAUUGCACAAUGGGCGAAAGCCUGAUGCAGCAACGCCGCGUGAGGGACGACGGCCUUCGGGUUGUAAACCUCUUUUAGUAGGGAAGAAGCGAAAGUGACGGUACCUGCAGAAAAAGCACCGGCUAACUACGUGCCAGCAGCCGCGGUAAUACGUAGGGUACAAGCGUUAUCCGGAAUUAUUGGGCGUAAAGAGCUCGUAGGCGGUCUGUCGCGUCUGCUGUGAAAACUGGAGGCUCAACCUCCAGCCUGCAGUGGGUACGGGCAGACUAGAGUGCGGUAGGGGAGAUUGGAAUUCCUGGUGUAGCGGUGGAAUGCGCAGAUAUCAGGAGGAACACCGAUGGCGAAGGCAGAUCUCUGGGCCGUAACUGACGCUGAGGAGCGAAAGCGUGGGGAGCGAACAGGAUUAGAAACCCCAGUAGUCC
RNAcentral lists this ribosomal RNA (430 nucleotides) under uncultured bacterium. RNAcentral's name for it is "bacterial SSU rRNA". It matches the Rfam family "Bacterial small subunit ribosomal RNA", at positions 354 to 796 of the family's 1533-position model. The record is from RNAcentral.